UGAUAAGGCUAGCAUCUGAACUAGCUGGGAGGUAUGAGACAAAGACAGUUGGAGACCAUUACUUCAAACAUACUGAUUUCAAAGUUCUGGCUCUAGUAAGAGCCACGACCUCCGACUCAGUGAUUUAUAAACCUGGAGACUCAACAGAAGCUUUCACAAACACAGAUUCUAGAACCUUAUGCUACAUUCACUGAAGGAGGCAUUUCAGAGUGGGGCCCAGGAACCUGCAUUUUAAGACCACUUCCCACGUGAUCUCAAGGCAGCUGAUCCCUGGGCUGCAGUUGGCCUCAUGUCAUAACUCCUGAAAUGUAAGGACUAAGAGCACCCGAGACAUGACAGUGCCACCUACCUACAGAUGACGACAUCAAGGCCCUGAGAUGAAAGGAACUUGACCCAGGUCAGGCAGAGGACCCUGAAUGUCCUCUGAGGCCAUGGGAAGAGCAUUAUACUUGGAGCCAGAGAAGUGGAUUCAGGCCCAGGCCCAGUGACCUUACCAUCGGAGAGCUCCUGAGAAAGUCCCUUUACCUCUCCGAGCUUCAAUUUCCUCACUGGUAAAAUGGAAACAUAAGGUCCUCCUACUAUUGCUAUUUUACUGGAUAAAAUCAUACACAUAAAACACAUGGCAAGACCUUAAUACUGGUUACUGUUUGGGUUUGUAUGACCAUUAACCCAGAUUUCCUGGUUCCUAGUACGUCUUUCUCCAACAGUGUUCAUGAGGAUUUUGAAGUUUCGUGUCUCCAAGGUCAAAUGCAGGUACUCCAGGAGGAAAGAACAAUGUUAAAUGUUGCGACCAAUGCUAUAAGGAGCUUGAGAGUCAAGCAGCAGGUGCCGAGUAGAGCACAGUCAAGUGAACACAACCCGGAAGACGCCCUACCCUCAUGGAGACUUCCUUCUAAUGUAGAAGUACAGAUUACACGCAAAUAAAUAGCCAUGCAAGAUCACCUAGAUGGUAUCAUCUCUGAGGAACAGGUACAGACACCAAACCUGUUGGUGCCUUGACCUUGGACUUUCCAGCUUCCAGAACUGUAAGAAUAAGUUUCUAUUGUUUAUCAAUUACCCGAUCUGUGGCAUUUUGUUAUAGCACCACAAAUGAACUAAGAUAGCUUUCA
RNAcentral lists this long non-coding RNA (1109 nucleotides) under Callithrix jacchus (white-tufted-ear marmoset). Its description in RNAcentral is "lncRNA (ENSCJAG00000080344.1)". The record is from RNAcentral. Lineage: Eukaryota; Metazoa; Chordata; Mammalia; Primates; Cebidae.